CCUACGGGAGACAGCAGUGAGGAAUAUUGGUCAAUGGGCGGAAGCCUGAACCAGCCAAGUCGCGUGAGGGAAUAAGGCCCUACGGGUCGUAAACUUCUUUUAUAUGGGAAUAAAACGUUCCACGUGUGGGAUUUUGUAUGUACCAUAUUAAUAAGGAUCGGCUAACUCCGUGCCAGCAGCCGCGGUAAUACGGAGGAUCCGAGCGUUAUCCGGAUUUAUUGGGUUUAAAGGGAGCGUAGGUGGAUUGUUAAGUCAGUUGUGAAAGUUUGCGGCUCAACCGUAAAAUUGCAGUUGAAACUGGCAGUCUUGAGUACAGUAGAGGUGGGUGGAAUUCGUGGUGUAGCGGUGAAAUGCUUAGAUAUCACGAAGAACUCCGAUUGCGAAGGCAGCUCACUGGACUGCAACUGACACUGAUGCUCGAAAGUGUGGGUAUCAAACAGGAUUAGAUACCCCAGUAGUC
Molecule: ribosomal RNA, 460 nt
Filed under: uncultured bacterium
Lineage: Bacteria
Description: partial 16S ribosomal RNA
Rfam family: Bacterial small subunit ribosomal RNA
Source: RNAcentral